Molecule: ribosomal RNA, 751 nt
Filed under: uncultured archaeon
Lineage: Archaea
Description: bacterial SSU rRNA
Rfam family: Archaeal small subunit ribosomal RNA
Source: RNAcentral
UAUGGACGGGAAUAACCUCGGGAAACUGAGAAUAAUGCCCGAUAGAACAUUAUGCCUGGAACGGUUUAUGUUUCAAAUGAUUUAUCGCCGUAGGAUGGGACUGCGGCCUAUCAGUUUGUUGGUGAGGUAAUGGCCCACCAAGACUAUUACAGGUACGGGCUCUGAGAGGAGUAGCCCGGAGAUGGGUACUGAGACACGGACCCAGGCCCUAUGGGGCGCAGCAGGCGAGAAAACUUUGCAAUGUGCGAAAGCACGACAAGGUUAAUCCGAGUGGUUUCUGCUAAAGAAACCUUUUGCUAGUCCUAGAAACACUAGUGAAUAAGGGGUGGGCAAGUUCUGGUGUCAGCCGCCGCGGUAAAACCAGCACCUCAAGUGGUCAGGAUGAUUAUUGGGCCUAAAGCAUCCGUAGCUCGUUUUGUAAGUUUUCGGUUAAAUCCAUACGCUCAACGUAUGGGCUGCCGGGAAUACUGCAUAACUAGGAAGUGGGAGAGGUAGACGGUACUCGGUAGGAAGGGGUAAAAUCCUUUGAUCUAUUGAUGACCACCUGUGGCGAAGGCGGUCUACCAGAACACGUUCGACGGUGAGGGAUGAAAGCUGGGGGAGCAAACCGGAUUAGAUACCCGGGUAGUCCCAGCUGUAAACUAUGCAAACUCAGUGAUGCAUUGGCUUGUGGCCAAUGCAGUGCUGCAGGGAAGCCGUUAAGUUUGCCGCCUGGGAAGUACGUACGCAAGUAUGAAACUUAAAGGAAUUG